This 253-nucleotide ribosomal RNA is filed under the name uncultured bacterium. RNAcentral describes it as "partial 16S ribosomal RNA". It matches the Rfam family "Bacterial small subunit ribosomal RNA", at positions 524 to 776 of the family's 1533-position model. The record is from RNAcentral.
UACGUAGGGUGCGAGCGUUGUCCGGAAUUAUUGGGCGUAAAGAGCUCGUAGGCGGUCUGUCGCGUCGAAUGUGAAAACCCGGGGCUCAACUCCGGGCUUGCAUUCGAUACGGGCAGGCUAGAGUUCGGUAGGGGAGUCUGGAAUUCCUGGUGUAGCGGUGAAAUGCGCAGAUAUCAGGAGGAACACCGGUGGCGAAGGCGGGACUCUGGGCAGAUACUGACGCUGAGGAGCGAAAGCGUGGGGAGCGAACAGG